AUACGGAGGGGGCUAGCGUUGUUCGGAAUUACUGGGCGUAAAGAGUUCGUAGGCGGACUGAUAAGUAAGAGGUGAAAUCCCAGGGCUCAACCCUGGAACUGCCUUUUAAACUGUCAGUCUAGAGACCGGAAGAGGUUAGGGGAAUACCUAGUGUAGAGGUGAAAUUCGUAGAUAUUAGGUGGAACACCAGUGGCGAAGGCGCCUAACUGGUCCGGUACUGACGCUGAGGAACGAAAGCGUGGGGAGCAAACAGGAUUAGAAACCCUAGUAGUCC
Molecule: ribosomal RNA, 274 nt
Filed under: uncultured bacterium
Lineage: Bacteria
Description: partial 16S ribosomal RNA
Rfam family: Bacterial small subunit ribosomal RNA
Source: RNAcentral